Non-coding RNA from Octopus bimaculoides (California two-spot octopus), 108 nucleotides. Lineage: Eukaryota; Metazoa; Mollusca; Cephalopoda; Octopoda; Octopodidae. The record is from Rfam.
GCUACUAGCUACGGCAGUGCAUAUUCUAAAAUUAGAACAACAGAGAGGAAAUUAGCAUGGCCCCUGUGCAACAAUGACAUGAAAAUUUAUGAAGCAUUCCAUAUUUAC